AAAAGACUUGUAAUCAUCAUACAUAAUUGAUAUUCUCAUAAGUUUCAUGAAGAUAACUCACUAUAAAAAUGUAAACUCUUAAUUUACCGUAUAGAAAUAGGUGCUUAGACUUCAUGGGUGAAAAGGGCCCAUGGAUGAAUAUUUAACAUACCUUAAUUAAAGAAUCCUUGGAAGUUCUUUGUGGAUUUCUUGGGAAUUGAUCUUUAAGGUUGAAGGAGCUAGGGUUUUGUUCUUGAGAGAGAAUGAUUUCAAUUUGAGGGAAUUAUGAAAUAUGAGGCAA
This 280-nucleotide long non-coding RNA is filed under the name Capsicum annuum. Its description in RNAcentral is "long non-coding RNA (CANN_LNC007338)". The record is from RNAcentral. Lineage: Eukaryota; Viridiplantae; Streptophyta; Magnoliopsida; Solanales; Solanaceae.